CCUGGAGGUGUAGCAAAGUAGCAGAGCAUCUGCUUUGCAUGCAGAUGGCCCCGGGUUCAACCCCCAGCCAGGU
Podarcis lilfordi (Lilford's wall lizard) is the source of this 73-nucleotide non-coding RNA. The record is from the annotation of a GenBank genome assembly. Lineage: Eukaryota; Metazoa; Chordata; Lepidosauria; Squamata; Lacertidae.